CCCGAAGAGAACGAGGAAGGAAGCAGCUAUGAGUUCUACUAUGAUGACGGCACUGGGUCGGGUCUUAGACCAGUGCCGGCCAAUAUGUCCGAGUUUUUGAUGGGAUCUGGGUUUGACCGCUUGCUAGACCAGUUAGCACAGAUUGAAGUGAAUGGUUUCGGGCGGGUAGGAAACCCGCCGGCGUCAAAAGCAGUGGUGGAGUCGAUGCCCACGGUUGAAAUAAACGAAACCCACGUAUUAGCGGAGGCACACUGCGCCGUCUGUAAGGAGGCGUUCGAGCUCGGCGGCAAAGCACGCGAGAUGCCCUGUACGCAUAUUUACCACUCGGAUUGCAUACUUCCUUGGCUCGCAAUUAGGAAUUCGUGUCCCGUUUGCCGCCAUGAGUUACCGGCGGAUCAGCAAGAAAGCGAGAAUUCGGGGGAAUCGGAGGAAAUUGUUGGGUUGACCAUAUGGAGGCUGCCAGGAGGUGGAUUUGC
RNAcentral lists this unclassified non-coding RNA (476 nucleotides) under Hevea brasiliensis (rubber tree). The record is from RNAcentral. Lineage: Eukaryota; Viridiplantae; Streptophyta; Magnoliopsida; Malpighiales; Euphorbiaceae.